GUGGGUGUAGCUCAGCAAGGUAGAGCGCCGCGUUGUGGUCGCGGAUGUCGCGGGUUCAAGUCCCGUCACUCACC
Molecule: transfer RNA, 74 nt
Filed under: Actinomycetota bacterium
Lineage: Bacteria; Bacillati; Actinomycetota
Description: tRNA-His
Rfam family: tRNA
About the family: Transfer RNA (tRNA) molecules are approximately 80 nucleotides in length. Their secondary structure includes four short double-helical elements and three loops (D, anti-codon, and T loops). Further hydrogen bonds mediate the characteristic L-shaped molecular structure. tRNAs have two regions of fundamental functional importance: the anti-codon, which is responsible for specific mRNA codon recognition, and the 3' end, to which the tRNAs corresponding amino acid is attached (by aminoacyl-tRNA synthetases). tRNAs cope with the degeneracy of the genetic code in two manners: having more than one tRNA (with a specific anti-codon) for a particular amino acid; and 'wobble' base-pairing, i.e. permitting non-standard base-pairing at the 3rd anti-codon position.
Source: RNAcentral